UCGAGAGUUUGAUCCUGGCUCAGGAUGAACGCUAGCGGCAGGCUUAACACAUGCAAGUCGAGGGGUAUAGUUCUUCGGAACUAGAGACCGGCGCACGGGUGCGUAACGCGUAUGUAAUCUACCUUUUACAGAGGGAUAGCCCAGAGAAAUUUGGAUUAAUACCUCAUAGUAUGUGAGAAUCGCAUGGUUUUCACAUUAAAGUCACAACGGUAAAAGAUGAGCAUGCGUCCCAUUAGCUAGAUGGUAAGGUAACGGCUUACCAUGGCAAC
Molecule: ribosomal RNA, 269 nt
Filed under: uncultured Flavobacterium sp.
Lineage: Bacteria; Pseudomonadati; Bacteroidota; Flavobacteriia; Flavobacteriales; Flavobacteriaceae
Description: partial 16S ribosomal RNA
Rfam family: Bacterial small subunit ribosomal RNA
Source: RNAcentral